ACUGGGAAUGAGGUGGUGGCAGACACACCAUCCAGACACGAAGAAACCAGAAAGGACCACGAGAUGACACCAGAGGGUGCUGGCCUAGGAAGAAGAAAGAUCCCUCUCCUGAGGCGUCGCCAAGGGCCACCCCUCAGGCUGCCACCACCUCUGGAACUGAGCUAUAAGAUCACCAGGGAGCACAUAGCUCAGGAGAAGGAGGCAGCAUUCCAGCUUGUGAAUGCCAGGCUGAUGGGUAAGUUGCAGGCCCUAGACAUCAGCAGCACCACACAGCCUGUCUGCCCUCCUCCCCUGCCUGCCCCAGGUACUGCUCCUGAACCCUUGAUCUCUGCGGGGGAGAGUAACCACAGAAAGCAGCAGGACUCCACCCUCACCAGUAGCCCUCAGCCUUCCUGCUCUGCUUCCCAGCCUCUGCCAGGCACUGAUCCACCCAUGAUCCCUGCAGGGAAAGGUGACUUUGGCACUACCCAGUGGCAGCACUGCCAUAGACACAUCCUGUGCUCCUGUCUUGGGCACUGACACUGGCAAGGAAACUAUGGAUACCACGUCUCCAACCUGAUCCUCUCACCCACUUCCUCCGCCUGGCACCAGUGGGACCUCCUUCCUCUGCACUGUUGACUGUGGCACUGCCCAGUGGCAGCACAGCCGUGGGCUGUCUUUCCCAGGUCACAUCCCAAGGCAAAGCCCUGGCCCCCACCAUCCAAGUGGCAGAGCAUAGCAGAUGUGGACGCAGGUCCUCUCAUUCUUCAUCCUCAUGAGCCCUGUCCAAUGCCUGCACCCUACUAAGUGCAAGGGAGACUGGCAGCUCCAUGGCUGAGCCACGCCCAGCCAUGCGCCCUUCUGUGUGGAGGCAUGAGAGUACCCAGGUGGAACAGAAGGAUGGCCUACAGGACACACAGGUACAGGCUAGAGGAAGGGGCUGCUGGCUCAUACAAUCUGCAGGUCUGCCACAUGCAGGCCAGGAGGGAACACCUGCUGUGUGGAGCGGUGCAAGCACCCAUCCUUCUGUUGGUCCAACAAUGCUAACAGUGAACCCCAAGUCACCCAGACAAGCUGAGCUCCAGACACGUGCCACUGGCAGAUGGUAAGGAGCAAACACCGUUGUGUAUGGGAGGGAAAGAGGACAUUUUAAACAAAGUGACCAAGGAGGCCUGGCAGGAAGGUGACAUUGGGAGAUACCCAGGUGGGAGAGGUUCAGUCACCAGAGAUAAGGAGCCAGGUGGUAUAACUCAGGUAGGAGUAGCCCAGAAGCUCAGGGCCAUGGGACUGAGUGUGGUGACAGUAGAAGAAUCCAGGAGAGAGAGGGGUCCAAAGGCAGCAGGCCAAGAGAGUUUGCAGGGGAAGCAGGAGUGGGGGCACCGAGGUGCAAGGCAUGGGAGGGACCGGCUGUGCCCCAGGCUUCACACAC
Molecule: long non-coding RNA, 1408 nt
Organism: Cavia porcellus (domestic guinea pig)
Lineage: Eukaryota; Metazoa; Chordata; Mammalia; Rodentia; Caviidae
Exons: 4
Source: RefSeq, a predicted model, not a curated record